Molecule: long non-coding RNA, 280 nt
Filed under: Elaeis guineensis (African oil palm)
Lineage: Eukaryota; Viridiplantae; Streptophyta; Magnoliopsida; Arecales; Arecaceae
Description: long non-coding RNA (EGUI_LNC015755)
Source: RNAcentral
UAGUGGGGCAAUCAUUGGUAUAUGUCGACUGACUGUAUGUUAUAAUCAGAAACUAAUUUUCUUUUCAGACCUAGCUAGACGGAACUGAUUGAUGGUAUGUGCUGAUAGAAGCACAUUGCUUCGUAUGACAUCAAAGCUAGUUUUUCUUUCAAGUCUCUAGUGGAGUGAUCGCAUGACGGAUGGACGUCAGGUUGUAAUCAGGAUUUAAUCUCUUUUGAGGCUAAUUACGGAUCGAUCGUAGCCAUAGUCAGAAGGACUACGAGAGUAAGAGUGAAUGAUU